This 2605-nucleotide long non-coding RNA is filed under the name Manduca sexta (tobacco hornworm). RNAcentral describes it as "uncharacterized LOC119192757". Lineage: Eukaryota; Metazoa; Arthropoda; Insecta; Lepidoptera; Sphingidae. The record is from RNAcentral.
GCGCUGCGCCCGCAUCCGCGACACGCGCUGCGCGUGCUCUACACCGCCGGCAAUGACGGGCGUGUACGGUGCUGGCGGAUCCGGCAGUACAGAUGACCGUGGUCGGCGCCGGGCUCGCCGGGACACGCGCCGCCGCGCCGCCCGCCGCCGCGCCGCGCCUGGAGGUGACGCACGCGCACGCACCGACACCAAGCACACACGGGUUACACCGACGGUUGUUUUGUGUUGACCUUGCGUACAUAUCAUGGUAUUGCGUGACAGUGAGUACCUUCACACUACAAUUGUAUUAUGCAAUUAGACGUAAAAUGGUUUUAAGCGAACAAGAUGAGUAAUAAUCGUCAUAGUUGUGUUUUGUUGUACUCACAAACACGCAAUAUUGAGGAAGAGAUCUAAUAAAUUAUUAUUUUGCUUUUGUGUAACAAAAGUAUGUUUUCGAUACAAGGUGUCGAAAUAAAGUUUUGCGCUUUGACACGCUUUCAAGACAUGUGAAAUAUAUCAGACGCUAUAUGAAAUUGUUUUGAAUUAACUAAAUCUUAAUAACAGUGUUAUAUGUGGACGGCUUAUUAUAACGAAUAGUAUUAAUUAAACAAUUAAAAGACAAUUAUAAUCUUUAGUAAAAAUUGAGGCGCGCUCAAAGUUAUUCUUUAUAUAUUACGCCUUAUGCUAAUCAAAAGGAACUAUAUAUUUUACUAACAAGACUAAUGUUACACAUACAAAAUCAGUCGAUGCUCGAUACUAAUAUAUGACAGAAUCGAUAAAGACAAAAAUACUCAGUAGUAAUAUAAUAGUUUCGUAUUCUUAUGGACAGCGUAUGUCACCUCCCUAGAUUUUAUCGACAGUCUAUUGAUAAGACCCGUAAUUGUGAACUGGAACAUAAGUUCUUAUAAAUAAGAAUUCGAAUAAUAUUCUUUAAGAUUCGAAUAUUUAUAUCGAUUAUAGUAUCGAGUUGUCGGAUAGAUUCACGACGUAGCGACGUAGACUCGUAGUUAGAGCGUGUGAGCGUAAUGUCAGAUUACAGCUAGUUGGAAACCAUGGCCUUCACCGAUAAUAAUGUGUAAAUAUAUGUAACUGAGUAGUGAUGAGUGGACAUUACUUCAAUUAAAUAAAAAUAGCUUAAUAUUAUAAAGCGCUAAAAGAAAUUAUGUAUUUGAAAUGGGUAGAUCUUCAUCGAUUAUUUUUAUCGAUAUUAAUUGGCAAAGGCUAUAAUUUAUUUUUAAUUUCGUAACUGUCCACUCACCGAUACUCAUUCGUGUAAGUGUAUGUAGGCUUAAAGUUUUAUAGUCGGUAUACUGUGUAGCCUUAGCUUAGCUGUUUCAAUUCCUGUGAUUAAUUUUAAUGAAUGGUACCUAUUAUAUAGUAGGAUAGUAGUCACGUCAAUUUGAAAACAAAUUAAUUGGAAAUUUUCGCGUUAAGAGUCGAUAAAUGUUAGUAUUGGUGUAAUUUUUAUAAAUUUGUAAGUGAUUCUUUAUAUAUUUAGGAUCCAUUGGAGACAUGUUAAUCAUAAUCCAAGAAAAUUCACAAUAUUGGGUUCGUCUAAAUGGGCUUAAAAUGACUUUACUAGGUCCAUAACUUGCAAACAAAUCCUAUAAUAUCGCAAACGAUUAUAGGCUAUGGUAACCACUUUACCAUAGAUAAUACACUAAUAUAGGAACACUACAUCAGGUGGGCCGCAUGUAACAGUAAGUGUCAAAUAACCGCAAGAUGUAUUUCUAACAUAGUAACAUUUCCUUUCGUUAUUUGAAUUUUACUUAUUUAAAAGCCAAUAUAAUUAAUGCCAAAUUUACAAAAAAGAAAUAAAAAAUAGACGACCUUUGUAACCCAAUAAAGUAAAAAUGAUUUCUAUCAUUUUUUUUACAAUUUACUAUUAAAAUUGAUGACGUUUUGAAGAUAAACAAUCUCUAAACAAUUUACACCAAAAGGAAUUGAAAAAAAUGAAUUUAUUACAUCUGUAUUAAAGCCCAGUGACUGGUACAAAUUCCUAUGCCUUUUUUAAUUUGAUUCUCCUAUAAAUAGUGGACCAUAGGCAUCCGAAAAUGUUUUGAUAACCUACAAAAUUACGGCAAGAAUCUAGAAAUUUUUUGAAUGUAGAAAAUAUUCUAUGUAAUUUGCAAGACCUUCGUAUGUAUAUGCAGUGGUAUGUGUUAAAAUCAUCAAGGUUUACGUAACUUGGUUCAACUUGUAAAUUAAUUUCUUAAUGAAAAUUUAAGUUAUGACAACAUGUUUGGUAAUGAACCCCCAAUACUAUCACUGCAUACGCAAGCAAUUCCUAUAGAUGAAGGUAAUAAAGUAUGUUAUAGUCUAUCAAGCGACAAUCGUAACGAAACCGCACACCUCCACUACGAAUAGAACUGAUCCGUGAAUUACGAUAAACUGUGAUUAAUCGAAUUAUAUUUUUAUUACAUUCCUGCGCUACGGGUAGAUUAGCAACAGCAUAACGUUUAAACAUUUUGUAGUUAGAUAUAAACGAGACGCCAUAUUGGCUUUCUGAUAUUAGUUCUUAUAUUGCACGCUAUACUCGCUUUUGUAUUCUAUCUAUAUUUUUUAUUGUUGUGUUCUCUUUGAUUUCACUGCCUACCUUCCUCUUAUUGAGUUAUUUAUUGUUUCU